UCCCUGGUAACUCAGAUGGUAAAGUGUCCGCCUGCGACGUGGAAGACCCAGGUUCCAUCCCUAGGUCGGGAA
RNAcentral lists this transfer RNA (72 nucleotides) under Bos taurus (domestic cattle). It matches the Rfam family "tRNA". From Rfam's summary of the family: Transfer RNA (tRNA) molecules are approximately 80 nucleotides in length. Their secondary structure includes four short double-helical elements and three loops (D, anti-codon, and T loops). Further hydrogen bonds mediate the characteristic L-shaped molecular structure. tRNAs have two regions of fundamental functional importance: the anti-codon, which is responsible for specific mRNA codon recognition, and the 3' end, to which the tRNAs corresponding amino acid is attached (by aminoacyl-tRNA synthetases). tRNAs cope with the degeneracy of the genetic code in two manners: having more than one tRNA (with a specific anti-codon) for a particular amino acid; and 'wobble' base-pairing, i.e. permitting non-standard base-pairing at the 3rd anti-codon position. Lineage: Eukaryota; Metazoa; Chordata; Mammalia; Artiodactyla; Bovidae. RNAcentral also lists the same sequence under 1 other name. The record is from Rfam by way of RNAcentral.